GGAGACCGCCCCAGUCAAACUGCCCAACUGACACUGUCCCAAGCCUGGAUUCACAGGACAAGGUUAGAACUAAAGCACAUUCAGGGUGGUAUUUCAACGACGACUCUGCGAUGGCUGGCGCCACCGCCUCAAAGUCUCCCACCUAUCCUACACAAAACGUACCUCAGCCCAAUAGCAGCCUACAGUAAAGGUUCAUGGGGUCU
RNAcentral lists this unclassified non-coding RNA (203 nucleotides) under Hevea brasiliensis (rubber tree). Lineage: Eukaryota; Viridiplantae; Streptophyta; Magnoliopsida; Malpighiales; Euphorbiaceae. The record is from RNAcentral.